Molecule: transfer RNA, 56 nt
Filed under: Sacculina confragosa
Lineage: Eukaryota; Metazoa; Arthropoda; Thecostraca; Sacculinidae
Description: tRNA-Glu
Source: RNAcentral
CUUCAUUUAGUGUAAAUUUAAGCACAUUUUAUUUUCAUUAAAAAAGUUUUUGAAGU